AUACGGAGGGUGCAAGCGUUGUCCGGAUUUAUUGGGUUUAAAGGGUGUGUAGGCGGUGUAUUAAGUCAGUGGUGAAAGCCUGCGGCUCAACUGUAGAACUGCCAUUGAUACUGACACACUUGAGUAUGGACGAGGUAGGCGGAAUUUAUGGUGUAGCGGUGAAAUGCAUAGAUACCAUAAAGAACACCGAUAGCGAAGGCAGCUUACUAGGCCAUAACUGACGCUGAGGCACGAAAGCGUGGGGAGCGAACAGGAUUAGAAACCCCAGUAGUCC
This 274-nucleotide ribosomal RNA is filed under the name uncultured bacterium. RNAcentral describes it as "partial 16S ribosomal RNA". It matches the Rfam family "Bacterial small subunit ribosomal RNA", at positions 523 to 796 of the family's 1533-position model. The record is from RNAcentral.